This is a long non-coding RNA of Oncorhynchus tshawytscha (Chinook salmon), 638 nucleotides long. Lineage: Eukaryota; Metazoa; Chordata; Actinopteri; Salmoniformes; Salmonidae. The record is from Ensembl.
UGGUGGUGAUGGUGGUGGUGGUUGUGAAAGUGGUGGUGAUGAAAGUGGUGAAAGUGGAGGUGAUGGAGGUGGUGAAAGUGGUGGUGAUGGAGGUGGUGAUGGAGGUGGUGGUGGUGGUGUUGAUGGAGGUGGUGGUGGUGGUGAAAGUGGUGGUGGUGGAGAAAGUGGUGAAAGUGGUGGUGGUAGUGGUGGUAGUGGUGGUGGUGAAAGUGGUGGUAGUGAAAGUGGUGAAAGUGGUGGUGAUGGAGGAGGUGGUGGUGGUGGUGAAAAGUGGUGAGUGGUGGUGAUGAAAGUGGUGAAAGUGGUGGUAGUGGUGGUGAUGGAGGUGGUGGUGAAAUGGUGAAAGUGGUCGUGGAGAAAGUGGUGAAAUUGGUGGUGGUGAAAGUGGUGGUGAAAGUGGUGGUGGUGGUGGUGGUAGUGGUGGUGAUGGAGGUGGUGAUGGAGGUGGUGGUGGUGGUGAUGGAGGUGGUGGUGAAAGUGGUGGUGGUGGUGGUGGAGAAAGUGGUGAAAGUGGUGGUGGUAGUGGUGGUGGUGAUGAUGGUGAAAGUCAUGGUGGUGAAAGUGGUGAAGGUGGUGGUGAUGGAGGUGUUGAUGGAGGUGGUGGUGGUGGUAGUGGUGGUGUUGGAGGUGGUGGUGAA